Molecule: long non-coding RNA, 267 nt
Filed under: Homo sapiens (human)
Lineage: Eukaryota; Metazoa; Chordata; Mammalia; Primates; Hominidae
Description: HSALNT0222295
Source: RNAcentral
UGAGUUGAGUAUUCUCCCAGUGAAGUAGAUAUACGCUUGCCAGGACAAUCCUGCAGAACCUUAACAGCUAAACGCCUGGGACAGGGUCCUAGAAGAAAGAGAGCUCCUAAUAAGUGCCUGUUGGCAUCCACCAGAAUGUGCAAGUUCUGUCAUUUCCCCACUCUCAUGUCUAUGUCUAUGUUUUAUCUCCUUUCAACAGCAGGAACAAAACACCAGUCCUUAAGGGCCUGGGCAUUAGUGGACAGGAGCCAAGGUGCCUGAGGACAA